This 328-nucleotide unclassified non-coding RNA is filed under the name Limnodrilus hoffmeisteri complex sp. IV. Its description in RNAcentral is "internal transcribed sapcer 1". The record is from RNAcentral. Lineage: Eukaryota; Metazoa; Annelida; Clitellata; Tubificida; Naididae.
CCGAUACCACGUACAGGACACACGUCCUCGUACAGACACUGUGCGCUACCCAGCGAUCGGCGACACACGUCGUCGGUCGGCAUUCAAUCUGUUACCGUCGAGAAUUCAAAGCAUACCCGUUGACGCUUCGGGGUACCUGUCGCACGUCGGCCGUCUUUGCGUGCGGUGAGCAGGCCGCGGGCUUCGGUCCGCGGUCGGCGAAGGUCCAACGAACCGUCCGCGCGUUCGCGCGCGCGUUCGGUCGCCCCGUCGCAUUCUCAGUCAGCCAGUCAGUUAACACGUACGGUCGCAUCAGUUACCAUGUCAGGACAACGAGAGUUACACAGAC